This is an RNA transcript of Osmerus eperlanus (European smelt), 4298 nucleotides long. It is a transcript of the gene named granulito, with no coding region annotated. The record is from RefSeq and is a predicted model, not a curated record. NCBI's taxonomy places the organism in Eukaryota, Metazoa, Chordata, Actinopteri, Osmeriformes, Osmeridae. The transcript is spliced from 8 exons.
GCGAUUUUCAAACCAGAACUCAACAAGAAGAAGAAACGCGGAAAUAAUAUGUUCUCGCUACCCCAACUAUAGUAAAAAGGCCUUCCUCCUUACGAAUCAACAAUAUCACUAUCCGGGUUUAUUCUUUUAGUGACACGAGGACAAUUUCAUAGAUUUUUACUUGAUCUGAAAAUUGUUUUUUCACUUCCUACUUGUGUGCUGUUGUUUGUGCUUCAGCAUGGCGGUGGUCAUCCGUUUACUGGGACUCAGAAUCACUGCGGGUUCUGAGGAUAUACGCAAAUUCUUCAGUGGCCUCAAAAUCCCUGAUGGUGGGGUGCAUAUUAUUGGUGGGGAGCGUGAUGAGGCUUUCAUUAUAUUUGCUUCUGACGAAGAUGCAAGGAGAGCAAUGACUCGUUCAGGCGGUUGUAUAAAAGGCACUCCGGUUAACUUACUAUUGAGCAGCAAGUCAGAAAUGCAGAGCAUUCUAGAGGCAAGUACAAAAAAACCUGACCUUAACCAACAACGACCACACAAGGAGGAAUUUAGAAGACGUGAAAGUGAGGCUACUGACCCCUCCUUCAGUGAGAAACUAUCCAUGGAGAAGCGAAGAGCUAUUCCUGAGAUGGGGAAUCGAUUUGUCCAGGAUCCUCAUGGUGAGGCACACAUUCAGAACCGCAAGUCAGAAUCUAACAGUGUGGGUGACUUGUUCUUGUUUUUGAAAGGAAUGCCCUUUUCUGUCACUGAAGACGAAGUGAGACACUUUUUCCAGGGGUUGAUCAUUGAUGCCAUGAUCCUGAUGAAGAACCACCGUGGGCAAAAUAAUGGUAAAGGAAUUGUGAAGUUUACAACGAGACAAGAUGCAAGAGAAGGUAUGAAGAGGGACAGGGAAUAUAUUGGCUCAAGGUUUGUUGAACUUUAUCCAGCUACAGAGGAAGAAUGGAUCAAUGCAAAUGGUGCAAUGGCGGCAAAUGCAGAUGAAUUUACCCACAAAUAUCGAAAAGGGUCCCCCCCCCCAUAUCGGCAGAGAUAUCCUCAAGAACGUGCAAGGUCACGCUCUCCUGUGGGCCACUCAUUGAAGUCUGCUCCUCCUGCCGAUGAGGAGUUCUGUGUCUUGUUAGAAAACCUCUCCUAUUCAGUCCAGAAGAGGGAUGUCAAGGAACUCUUCAGGAAUGCAGGCCUUCAGGAUGAUCAGAUUUUAUAUCUGCUUGACAGCGAAGCAAAACGGACAAGGUCACUGUUUGUGUUGUUCAGAAGUCUGAAAGACUAUUGUGAUGCCCUUACCCAUCAUAAGAAGGAGUUCCUUAAUCGAUGUCUUUAUAUCUCCCCAAUCUCAAAAGAAAAAAUGGUUUCCAUUCUGGAAACCAAUAAACACACGGCAGAUGAGCUUCCUGAAAGGCAUAGUAGGUCUCAGGAAAGGCUGUCUCUGUCUCACAUUGACCCAUACAAUUCUGAUAAGGUUUGCCUCUAUGUGCGAAAUCUGCCUUUUGAUGUCCGCAAAGUUGAGAUUAUGGACUUCUUCCUUGGCUUUAGUAUCUCUGAGGACUCUGUGAUCUUGUUGCGUGAUAACAGGGGUGCUGGUAUUGGAGAGGCUUUGGUGAUCUUUCAGACCGAGGUAGAGGCUAUGACUGCGCAGUCUUUAAAUGGGCAAAGAUUUCUUGGUUCAGAGUUGAUGCUGAAAUGCAUCUCAAGGUCUCAGAUGCGUGAGUUUGGUGUUGCUGACCCUGCAAUGGACGUUCACACAGUAAGGGAAAGAAGCUCUGAGAGGUACUCUGCCAGGAACAGAGACUCACUUCUUCAUUCUCAUGACAAGGAGUACUCUGAUUUCAUGACACCCGAUGGCCACAUUCCACUGACAGACCUGCAGGUUCACAUCCGUGGGGACAGUAGUCUUGACUCCAACUGUGCAAGUCCUUACGGUCAACAGGAUGGUGGCAAUGGAUCUUUCCAUGGUGGUUUUGGACCCCCCCCCCAACAUUAUGAUGGCCCCACCUGUUUGAAGCUGGUUAAUCUACCGUUGCAAAUCACCAUCAAUGAAAUCUAUGACUUUUGUUAUGGAUAUCGUGUAAUUCCAGGGUCUAUUUCUUUGCAGUAUAACAGAAAUGGUAUUCCUAAAGGCUCUGCAACAGUUGUCUUUGAGUCACGCCAGGAGGCAUUGACUGCGGUUGAGGAAUUGAGUGGAAGACCUAUAGGCAUGCGGAAAAUACAACUCGUUUUUGUUUAAACACCUUGAUCAGACCCUUGGUGGUCAAGAUUUGGUGGAGACAUUCUAAAGAGGUAAAAAUAGUCCUAUAUUUUUUAUUAGUGGUGUGGAUGGACAAAGUGGUUUGUGAGACCACUUAAAAUGAAUUUGUGAGAUUCAUUGACUUUUGUUAGUAUUAUCCUUCAGUGAAUAAUGGAUAUGUUGUGAUGAAUUUUUAUUGAUUUUUUACUCCAAAUUUAGCUAAUGCAUUAAAGUACCAUCGUCUGUGCAGUCUUUGUUCAGAAUUAUUUUGUGAAAUUUGAAUAGCAUAUGGUACAAAAAACAAAAGUGCUAUUUUUUAUUUUACAUUAUUUAAUAACCUUACUGUGCAUUACUCAUUUGAUUAAAAUGCUCAUCAUUCAAUUGUCUUCUGUUGUCACCUAAUAGCACACUUCAACCACUCAUGGAAUACAAACUAAACUUCAUUUAAUGUAGUGUCAUUUACUAUAUAGUGUGACUGUAAUACAAUUGUGAUGUACUGCAAGUGGAUCUUGAACUGCACCUCUGUGAAACCAUUUCUAACCUGUACAUCAGGUAAAGUGGUGUCCUUAAUUAAGCAUGUACAUGGAAUUUCUUGAUCAACUGUUUAUCAUUACUACUGAUAAAAAAAAAGCUGCAUGAGGUAUUAAAAUAUUUUGCUCUACACCUCUUGUCAAAGGAUGGCCUUAGACCUCUUAAUGGGGUGAAAUUAUUGCUCAGUGGUUGGAGCACUUAACUGCAGAUCAAGCUCGCUGGUUAAAAUUCCCCCUGUACUUCACGUGAAUUUGGAAAAUAAUCUUCUGUUAAAUGAAUACGUUAUUAUUUCACUUGUACUACAUGGUGCUUUGAAACAAAUGGUCAAUUUGUUGUCUCUGGUUUCUUUUUCCAAGUGUGUCACCUUCCUACAGCUGAUGCUAAUAUCGGUAUUUCCAGGGGGAAUUGAAUUGAAUUUGAACCUUUAGAUUGGCAUCAACUCUGUUAAGGUAACAGCUGCCAUUCAAUGUCAAUAUGUCUAGACAGUGAGAGUUAAGUUACAUCACAAAGUUCACAAACAAAUGGUCUAACUAGGCAGUUGGCAAGAGCAUGUUUCUACCAGACGCAUGAUGCACUCAGAUACAUAUUUUUACAUGAUGAAGGUAUUAGGACAGUUGGUGACAAAGUCAUUGUUAAAAACAUUUUAUGUAACAUGAAAUGCCAAAGAGAACGGGACGCUAUUGGUUAUAACUCCUGUCACAAGUUCUGGGUGGGACUCGAGGACAAGGGAGAAAACUGAGAGACGGACAAAACGGACUGAACAUAUUCCUGUAUUCUUGGAAUAAGCAGCAAACCUGAGCAGGAUGGAGGUAUCAAGAAGAAGGAGUUUGCAGAAACACCUGGAGCCAGCGAGGCCACUACGCCGGUUCAAUAAUGUUGACCAGGAGCCUUUUAGAAAUAUGGAUACAUUUGCAUAUCCACAGGUGGAAGACAAAUCAAUCAACAACAUUGGAGUGGAACAAUUCUACAAAAUACUACAGCUCCACACACAAAAUGAGGAGAAAAGUCAUAAAGUCCGAAUAUGUUACAGUAGGGAGUUUCUGAUUGAGUUGGCAAGCUCCCCAGUUGCCAAAAGGAAGCCUGAUUUCUUACCUGAGCACCCUGUCGUUCUGGAAAAGGCGAGAGAUCCUGGUCUACCAAGGCUGGUGGAGAAGUGUGACAAGAGGUGGAAUGAAGGAAAUGUUAUGUUGCCUAGCAUGGAUGAAUUUUGACCCGUGGUGCUUUAGUACAGAAAAGCCUCUUGCGAUGCAUGUUUAUAUACAUUUAGUUUUCUUUGAAGAGGGAUCAUAAAUGGCACUUAGUCUGAGACUUAAAAGGAUGAUGACUAUUAUCAAAAUGUUGCAUUUGUAUUAGAACUUGAAAAACUUAUUGGAACUGCCAGUGCUUUUGUGGAGUGGAGACACUAAUAUGACAUAACAGACAAGCUUGCAAAUGUUGCCUUGAAAUAAAUCUAACGUCAUAUUUGUAUUCCCCCUGUACUGUGAAAAAUAUAAAAUCAUACCUGUCAUUGCAGGAUCAAAUUACUAAGAUUUGUAACUAACACAAGAGAAAGCAAGAAACUCAGGUA